This 328-nucleotide long non-coding RNA is filed under the name Elaeis guineensis (African oil palm). RNAcentral's name for it is "long non-coding RNA (EGUI_LNC032936)". Lineage: Eukaryota; Viridiplantae; Streptophyta; Magnoliopsida; Arecales; Arecaceae. The record is from RNAcentral.
ACUUACCUGGCCAAUUUAGUCUUGUUGAAUUUCAGACUUAGAUUGAUUAAGUGAUGUAGAUAUUACAAGGGCCUUCUUUCAAACUUGGUCGAUAAAGUAUGUCAAGAUCUUAGUAAGCUUAUUGUGCUAUCCACAAAGCUUACUAUAGAAAUUGACAUGAUGUUGAUCAAGUGCAUAUUUAUGCUUAUGGUAUAUUUGAAUAGUGUUGCUUUGUUAUGCUAUCCAUAAGGACAGCAUUGUUUAAGUAUGACCAUAUAGAUUGAAGGAUCAACUUAACUAGAAUACUAUAGUUUGUUGUGUUAUUCACAAGACUAUAUAUGAUCUAAAG